Molecule: long non-coding RNA, 1781 nt
Filed under: Homo sapiens (human)
Lineage: Eukaryota; Metazoa; Chordata; Mammalia; Primates; Hominidae
Description: HSALNT0351060
Source: RNAcentral
UCAUUAAGUUGAGAAUCACAAAAGUGAGCAGAUCAGAGUUCUGUAGAAUUUAAGGAAUCACAGACAGUUAAAAACGGAUCUGCACCACAUUUACUUUCUGUUUGAUCUUCUCUUCCCCCAAAGUUUUGUCUUUUUCUCCAUGUAUUAGCUUUAUUUUUUCUCACUACAAAAGGAUCUCCUCCACACACUUUUUCAAUUAAUAUUCAAAAACUCCUGGAGGAAGGCUAUGAUUGGCCCAGGUUGGGCCACACCCAGUGCUCAAACUUGGACUGAUUAAUUUUAGCCAGAUGUCCUGGAAACUGCAAUUGGUCCAAUCUUUGACUGCAAUGGGGGCAGGCUAGAAGAGGCCAUUCCUGGAAAGGAGGAUGGUGAAAGCAAUAUCAGAUGGUCUCACUUGAUUUUGAAGACAACGCUAUGAGUGCAUCUUAGGGCUGUGUUAUUGUUGCAAAACUUGUUUCAAAAAUAAAUUUCAAUAAAUGAUGAUGGAGGUCUACUCUCACUAAUGACAAGAUUUUUGCAAUUCUCCUGGGCUUUUUCUUCUGUUAUUAUAUGCAAUGGAAAAGGAAACAUCUAAUUAAAUUGAAUCUACAAGAAGCCAUGAGAGGAGAGAAAAGAGAAAGGUUAUCUCCAUCCCUUGUGAUACCUGCUGCUGCCAGAUUGCUGCUUCAUUGAUUUAUGGUGAACACUCAGUUCUCUAUCACAUCACACAGCCCCCAUCCCUCUCUGUCUCUCUCCACCUUCCCCCUUGACUUCCCAGGAUCUCGACACAGUUCUAUGAUCAGCCAUUUCUCUUUCCACAUCACCUUCAUCUGUAAGUCCUCCCCUCCUUCCUCCACCCCUCCCUGGCUGCACCCCUGCCCUCCCUGAGGGCUGCCUGACCUGUCUCACACAACUCUCUGGUUCAGACUGGAAGACUCCUCUCAUCUGUCCUUGAAUUUCCUCUAUUCCUACUCCAUUGUCUUCACCUUUGUCUUUGUUUGGUUUGUUUGUCUCCUCUUUAUGUGUCCUCUCAUUUCUGCUACAUUCAGAAUACCUAUUUUACUCCUUAAAGCCACUGAGUCUACCCCUCACCUUGAAAGCUUCCUUUGAAUCCUUUCAUAAAAUGUCCCAUCCUGUGGAUAGCCGAAAACAGAAUCAGGGCUCCUCCUUCAGCCUCCGUCUCAAUUUUCAUUUCUUCCUUUUCAAACAAAAAAUUGUUUAUAUUUAUGGAUUUCUGCCAGAUCUCCCAACUUCUGAGAAAUUAAUUUUAGUAAUUAGAGAGCACCAUUGCAAAAGAUAUAAUAUUUCACUUUCCAUUUCACCACUCCCCUUCUUUCUAAAGGGUAAAUUUUCUUAAUUUUAAUUUUUAUAAUUCUGACCCAGAUUAUUAAUGUACCUUUUUAAAGAAAAUUAUUUUACAUUCUUAUAUGUUUACUAAAUGUUUAAAGACACAAGCAACUUUCUGGUAUUUCCAAGUCUAUUAUCUUUCAUGAACUACAGUGGAAAAAUCCCUUUGUAAUGUCACCUUUUCUGGCUACAUAUUUUUUCUUUCAUGUUUCUUCUGUGGAACUAUAAACUCCCAAAUCAACAUUUUCUCCUCCAUAGUUGACAUCCAUGAUCAUAUACCUUCCAACUCAGCCAUAUUGUAACCUAUGAAUCAUUGACCCCAUAUAAAAGCUUCAACCCCAAUUAUUUGCAAGAAAUAAAUUUCCUUUGUCAAUAUUUAGCUUUAAUUCUUAUAUGAAAAUUGAAAAAUUGAAUCUAGUAGGAAUUGCUGCAUUUUCUCUUUGAUGCAUUUUGAC